This 380-nucleotide ribosomal RNA is filed under the name uncultured methanogenic archaeon. RNAcentral's name for it is "bacterial SSU rRNA". It matches the Rfam family "Archaeal small subunit ribosomal RNA", at positions 500 to 880 of the family's 1478-position model. Lineage: Archaea; Methanobacteriati; Methanobacteriota. The record is from RNAcentral.
UUUAUUGAGUCUAAAACGUUCGUAGCCGGUCCGGUAAAUCCUUGGGUAAAUCGGGGGGCUCAACCCUCCGACUUCCGAGGAGACUGCCGGACUUGGGACCGGGAGAGGCUAGAGGUACUUCUGGGGUAGGGGUAAAAUCCUGUAAUCCUGGAAGGACCACCGGUGGCGAAGGCGUCUAGCUAGAACGGAUCCGACGGUGAGGGACGAAGCCCUGGGUCGCAAACGGGAUUAGAUACCCCGGUAGUCCAGGGUGUAAACGCUGCAGACUUGGUGUUGGAGGCCCUUCGGGGGCAUUCAGUGCCGGAGAGAAGUUGUUAAGUCUGCUACUUGGGGAGUACGUCCGCAAGGAUGAAACUUAAAGGAAUUGGCGGGGGAGCACA